This 468-nucleotide ribosomal RNA is filed under the name uncultured bacterium. Its description in RNAcentral is "partial 16S ribosomal RNA". It matches the Rfam family "Bacterial small subunit ribosomal RNA", at positions 28 to 507 of the family's 1533-position model. The record is from RNAcentral.
GACGAACGCUGGCGGCGUGCUUAACACAUGCAAGUCGAACGGAAAGGCCCUGCCUUUGUGUGGUGCUCGAGUGGCGAACGGGUGAGUAACACGUGAGUAACCUGCCCUUGACUUUGGGAUAACUUCAGGAAACUGGGGCUAAUACCGGAUAGGAGCUCCUGCUGCAUGGUGGGGGUUGGAAAGGUUCGGCGGUUGGGGAUGGACUCGCGGCUUAUCAGCUUGUUGGUGGGGUAGUGGCUUACCAAGGCUUUGACGGGUAGCCGGCCUGAGAGGGUGACCGGCCACACUGGGACUGAGAUACGGCCCAGACUCCUACGGGAGGCAGCAGUGGGGAAUAUUGCACAAUGGGCGGAAGCCUGAUGCAGCAACGCCGCGUGCGGGAUGACGGCCUUCGGGUUGUAAACCUCUUUCGCCUGUGACGAAGCGUGAGUGACGGUAAUGGGUGAAGAAGCACCGGCUAACUACGUG